UACGUAGGUGUCGAGCGUUAUCCGGAAUUACUGGGCGUAAAGCGCACGCAGGCGGCAUGGAAAGUCGUACGUGAAAGCUCCCGGCUUAACUGGGAGAGGACGUAGGAAACUAUCAGGCUGGAGACAGUGAGAGGAAGGCGGAAUUCCCGGUGUAGUGGUGGAAUGCGUAGAUAUCGGGAAGAACACCAGUGGCGAAAGCGGCCUUCUGGCACUGUUCUGACGCUGAGGUGCGAAAGCGUGGGGAGCGAACGGG
Molecule: ribosomal RNA, 253 nt
Filed under: uncultured bacterium
Lineage: Bacteria
Description: partial 16S ribosomal RNA
Rfam family: Bacterial small subunit ribosomal RNA
Source: RNAcentral